Molecule: long non-coding RNA, 1061 nt
Organism: Oncorhynchus tshawytscha (Chinook salmon)
Lineage: Eukaryota; Metazoa; Chordata; Actinopteri; Salmoniformes; Salmonidae
Source: Ensembl
UGACCGCCGGCCAUUUGCUGUGUGCGUCAACUACGACUAAGAACAUACGGUCAUCCAGUGGGCCUUCAUAGUCUAUGUGGACUCGUUGCCAAGGCUCCUCUGGGAAGUCCCAUGGUUGUAGUGGUACUAGCUGAGGCAUGUUCCUCAUCUUUUGACAUGCAGAACAUGACUUGACCUUGUCUUCGAUAGCUACGUCCAAACUUGGCCACCAAAAGUAGCUGGGUGCAAUCUUCUUCAUUCGCACCAUGCCACAGUGCCCUGAAUGGAGUUCUUUAAGCACUUGCCUCAAUGGUGGCGGUAUGAUGACUCGAGAACCCCAUAGCAAGCAUCCAAACUGAACUGUGAGCUCGUUUCUCCUCACUAGGUAAGGUUGUAGGUUGUCUGACAGCACUCCUUUUCCACGAGUGACCAUGUCCAGGACCUCAGACAUCACUGGAUCAGUGCGGGAAUACCUUUUCAUUUGGACAGAAGUAACUGGGGCGUCCGUCACUUCCUUGAAGUAGAAGAUUUCAGCCUGGGAGUGCUCAGUGUGUGUGACAGCUGGCUGCAAGCAACGGAAUGUCGGUGUGGGACCAAAGAUGGAGGUGAGGUGUUUAUGGUCCGUCAGCAGUGUGAAUCGUCGGCCAAACAGAAACGGAUGAAAUUUCUUAACUCCAAACACAAUGGAUGGCCACCCUGCUCAGCAAGUUCAGGAUAGACUUCUCCGACAUCAACGUACUAGGAGACAUCAACACCAAGCCCAAGAAAGAGAAAACCUGAGCCCUAGGACCAUGCCUCAGGACUACCUGCCCUUAUGACUCCUGGCUGUCCCCGGUCUAACUGGUUGUGCUGCUGCUCCAGUUUCAUCUGUUCAAUGGAACUCUGACCUGUUCACCGGACAUUCUACCUUUUCCCGGACCUGCUGUCUCGACCUCUGAAUGACCGGCUAUGAAAAGCCAACUGACAUUUGUGAAUCUUUUCAGGAAACUCAGUGUAUUUCGCAGGUCACUACUUCACAAGAGAACCAUUUGAAUGUAAACUUUUUUUAAUAUCAAAAUGCAUUUGCCUUAAUAACAAACUUU